Molecule: long non-coding RNA, 1495 nt
Organism: Colossoma macropomum (tambaqui)
Lineage: Eukaryota; Metazoa; Chordata; Actinopteri; Characiformes; Serrasalmidae
Exons: 2
Source: RefSeq, a predicted model, not a curated record
UCUCUCUCUCUCUCUCUCUUUUUUUUUCCACCCCUCCCCGUGUUAAACCCACGGCCAUAAGCUAUACUGAACAUAUCUGGAGCGGACGAGUUACAUAGGUUUUCUGUCUCGUUACGUUAUUACUAUUUUUUCUUUCUUUUUCAUUUGCUUUCAGCGGUGUUUUUUCAGUUCUCGUUGCUGCGGACCUGCUGGGUUUGUGUGGACAGGAUUAUUCUCGAGACGUGCUUGUCUUUAAGUGCUCCAGUUCUCUCUGAUGGCUCUGCUUACGUUUUGAUGGCUGUGCUCUGUGCUUGAUGCCUGUGGACGCUGCCGUGUGGAAAGUGUGCAUAGCAUUGGCAGUAGUGGUGUCCAGGGUAAAGCUCGUUUGGUGGAGGAGAUUAUGUGCUAGUAUAGAGCAGAGUGAUGUUCGUGUUUUUGACGGAUAUCUGUUAAAGCCUUUUGUUUAUUUCUAUAUUUUUUUAUUUAAUCGCUUACGUUGUUUGAUAUGUGUCUGUUAAGUCCUUAUAAUGAUACUAUCAAGUCAGGCGGUUUAAGCUGUAGAUGAGUGUGAAUGUGCCUGUACUUUUCCGGACAUUUAACCAAAGCCACCUGACCCUGCAGUUGUUGUAAAGCCCUGUGUGGCUUUUUAUCGGUGUUCAUCAUGCAGUCUGGUCCUGGCUCUGAGGUACGAUUUUGUUAAGAGAAUUCUGCACCACUUCUUUAAAGCAUUUGAUCUUCAUAGAACCCAGUGAGAAGAUGUGAUGAAGGCCUAUGAAGAGCUCAAAUUGACAUGGAGGUCAUAAAGCAGAACUCUGAGCUCUGAGGCCUGUAAGCAGUUCAAGAGCUGGGAAAACAAGGUGUCAGUACACCACCAGUAGGCUAAUAUACCAACACAAGUGUGUGAGAAAUAGUUAAGGGCGCUACUUGUUGAGACAGAACUGUUAUUUAUCUGUAUUUGUUAGGCAUUAUUGACUUUUUAAAAUCAUCUGUAUGAGACUGAGUUGUAUUGGGUCUGGACAGUUUCUUAUACAACAAGGCAGCUCAAAAUAUUUUUAUAAUCACUAAUAAAUUUAAACACUAUUGCAUUGCGAAAAACAGGACAUUUGCCUUGGGGAUGUACACUUUGCCAGCUCAACAAGUGUUUUUUUUUUUCCCCUCAUGACUGCAUAACUGCAGUCUGAGACCUGUUGGUGCUUGAGAGAGAAGAGUAGGCUGGAGUUUUCUAAUGUGAACAAACUGUCAUUUCAUGCAAGGGUUUUUUUUCCCCUCUGUACUCAAACACACACAUACAGUUUCAAAUGCUCCAUGUGCCAGCUGUAAUUCUCAAGCGUGGGACAUUUAUAAAUUAAGCUUUAAGUGCGAAAGUCUUUAUAACUGUUGCCCUGAUUGCUAAGUGCUGUUUAUGACCUGUUGUUUUCUGUUUAUCAAUAAGAAGUUAUCAUUUGGUAAACAUAUUUGUAUACGAAGACAAAUGUAACUUUUAUAGUGACAUAAUAAACAAUGUUUUGUACUAAAA